AUUACCGGCGAAUUCUAAGUAGCGUCAUUCGGCACGUAGACACAAUCGCGUACACUUGGCAAAGCGACACACGUCGAUUUUUUUCACCAGUCCUUUCAGAAUUGCCAAAAAUUAUGUUAUCUGUUAUUUCAAGAACUGCAAUUAGGAAUGGUCAACGACUUUUGGUUCAACAGCAGCCUCUAGUGGCAAGAAAUGUAAAUACUGAUGCUGGCAAAGCAGGUGUCUGUCCAUGGAAAUGGAUUAUUGAUAGUAGGCGUUGCUGGUGCACUAGUUUCAUGGGGAAUGAUUUUUGGAAAUGGUAUGAUUAGACUAUACAGAGAACCAUCACGUUCGUUAUAUCGCAGCUGUUAUGAAAAAUACUGAGUGAACCACGCAAGCUGACGAAGAUUAUUAUUUUUAUUAGCUUAAUUUGUAUUUUAUUUAUUUUUUGCUCAUCAUUUGCCAACAUACCUCAGAGUCGGCGGUGAUGAAAUGACAAUUCACUUUUCCAGUUUGUCAAUUAUAAAUAAAUAUUUUUAAUUGUGAUUUAUAAUCAAAUAAAAUAUGAUAAUUCACUGAUUUUUACUUGA
This is a long non-coding RNA of Saccoglossus kowalevskii, 569 nucleotides long. RefSeq lists it as uncharacterized. The record is from RefSeq and is a predicted model, not a curated record. Lineage: Eukaryota; Metazoa; Hemichordata; Enteropneusta; Harrimaniidae.